This 477-nucleotide ribosomal RNA is filed under the name uncultured bacterium. RNAcentral describes it as "partial 16S ribosomal RNA". It matches the Rfam family "Bacterial small subunit ribosomal RNA", at positions 28 to 507 of the family's 1533-position model. The record is from RNAcentral.
GAUGAACGCUGGCGGCGUGCCUAAUACAUGCAAGUCGAGCGAACAGAUGAGGCGCUUGCUCCUCUGACGUUAGCGGCGGACGGGUGAGUAACACGUGGAUAACCUACCUAUAAGACUGGGAUAACUUCGGGAAACCGGAGCUAAUACCGGAUAAUAUAUUGAACCGCAUGGUUCAAUAGUGAAAGACGGUUUUGCUGUCACUUAUAGAUGGAUCCGCGCCGCAUUAGCUAGUUGGUAGGGUAACGGCUUACCAAGGCAGCGAUGCGUAGCCGACCUGAGAGGGUGGACGGACACAUUGGGACUGAGAGACGGACCAGAGUCGUAGGGGAGGCAGCAGUGGGGAAUAUUGCACAAUGGGCGGAAGCCUGAUGAAGCAACGACGCGUGCGGGAUGACGGCCUUGGGGUUGUAAACCGCUUUCGCCUGUGACGAAGCGUGAGUGACGGUAAUGGGUAAAGAAGCACCGGCUAACUACGUG